GAACGCUGGCGGCGCGCCUAACACAUGCAAGUCGAACGAGAGAUGAGGAGCUUGCUCUUCAAAUCGAGUGGCGAACGGGUGAGUAACGCGUGAGGAACCUGCCUCAAAGAGGGGGACAACAGUUGGAAACGACUGCUAAUACCGCAUAAGCCCACGGCUCGGCAUCGAGCAGAGGGAAAAGGAGUGAUCCGCUUUGAGAUGGCCUCGCGUCCGAUUAGCUAGUUGGUGAGGUAACGGCCCACCAAGGCAACGAUCGGUAGCCGGACUGAGAGGUUGAACGGCCACAUUGGGACUGAGACACGGCCCAGACUCCUACGGGAGGCAGCAGUGGGGAAUAUUGCACAAUGGGGGAAACCCUGAUGCAGCAACGCCGCGUGAAGGAUGACGGUUUUCGGAUUGUAAACUUCUUUUCUUAGUGACGAAGACAGUGACGGUAGCUAAGGAAUAAGCAUCGGCUAACUACGUG
This 466-nucleotide ribosomal RNA is filed under the name uncultured bacterium. Its description in RNAcentral is "bacterial SSU rRNA". It matches the Rfam family "Bacterial small subunit ribosomal RNA", at positions 31 to 507 of the family's 1533-position model. The record is from RNAcentral.